UACAUCUCCCAUUGAAUUUCUCCCGUGUAUCCACUAUAAAUUGGCGUAAUCAUUGUAACUCCAUGGUCUAGCAAUUCAGCUCAUAGCAAAACAUUGCGAAAGCAAUAACCUUGGAUUCUUUUACACGAAGGAAACGGUAUUGUUGCUAGCUCUGAUUUUACUUUCGCUAGCAAGUAACUUUGAAGGCAGAUAUGGAUUUAAACAUGGAAGUUCUUGAUUUUACAACUGUCUUGUUGGUGAGUACUAUAUAUUAUUGCAAUCUGUGGUGGUUUUGGUGGCUAGGUAGGAUGUGUAAAUUGUGGUUAAUGAAGGUUAUUUAGAUAGCACAAACUUGUUUUUUAGAUCCUACGUCUAUCAAACUACAAGAAGAUGACAUUGAUGAUGAUACUGUUCACAUCGAUGUUAAAAAUCUAGUUUGUUAUAAAAUUGAACAUCUGAAGAAGUGGUUAAUUUAUAGAGUUGAUACCCUGAAAGGAACAGACACUUUGAAAGAGACACAAGUUAGGUAUGUCCAUGUUAAUAAACAACGAUUUGAGUGACUAUUCUAUUUUAGAUGUUGGUGUUAGCAAAGUCCCUUAAAAUUAAAAAACCAUUUACUCAGGGUGAACAAUUUCUGGAAGAACAUUUUAUUGAUGUUGGUUCAAUACAUGCAAAGGAAAAUGAUAAUAUAUUUAGUUUGAAAGGUGUGUGUGGCGCAAGCUUGAGAAAGCAGAUAGAUGGAUUUUUGUUUUAAUUGAUAAAUCAUCAAAUGAAAUCAUGUAUUGUUUUUGCCAAUUUUCAGCUGGGAAGGUGGGAACUUGUUUUCACGCUUACGCUUAGAUGAAGUUAUUGGCUAAAUGGGUCUUGGAUAACUUAAAAAAUUAUUCCAGAACUCAAAGCAUGUACAUCAAAGGCCUGUGAGUGGUCAGUUCCUCAGUGCAAAAAUCGUGUUGAUAAAGUCUCAAUAUCGGAUAUAACCGUUACUUCCCCAGUUUUGAAACGAAGAAAUACAAAUGACGAUACAAAAUACAAGAAGUGCAGUGGAAUUAAAACUACAUUGUAUGAUGCUAGAGCCGACGGUACCAAAUAUGAGCCAGCUUAUGAUUUAGAAGUUUUUUUGAAUAGCGACACUAAGAAUCAUGCUGAGAAAAUCAUAAAUCCUGAUCCGCUGCUUUUUACAGAUACAGUGUAUGGAGUAAUGCCAGUUGGUUCUAUUUUAUCGUAUCAUAGUUCCCCAAUGCCAGCUGAUAUCGCUGUAUAUUCUAGCAUUUCUACAGUCACAGCAAACCUAACUGAGAACCUAAACAUAACACUUAUCAAAGUUUUUCUUUUAAUCCAAUUAAAUGCCUGCUUGAUGAAUACUUGAGAAGUGAAAUAUGUGAGGAAAAAUUGGCCAUAUUGAAUCAAUUAAGGUCACAUUCUGCGCAUGCUGUAGAAAUCCAAGUUAAUACGCGUGACCGAGCAAGAGAUGCGAAUUGGUUUAUGUACCGCAUAAACAGAAUUAACAGCAUCUAUUUGAAAAAAAAAUUGUGAUCUAACUAAAAAAUACUGAGAAGGGGAUCAAAACUAUAGCUCUAACUAUAGCUAAUUGUAUUUGGUGACAAAAAUGGGAAAAACAAAGCUGUGUAAAUGAAAAUGAGCUACGGCAUAUUUUUUGAACCCAUCGCUAUCCAAGCACAUGAAAAAUUCAUGCGUCUAUCUGGUUGGAAAAUUUCUGUUGAUUAAUGUGGAUUGGUUAUUGAUUCGCAAAAUUUUGUUUUGGGUGCAACUCCUGAUGGGAAAGUUUUUGACGGCGUUUCUUUUGGAAUACUAGAGGUUAAAUGUAGUGAGCACUAUAAAGAUAUCAAUCCGAAGGAUGUUUGCUCUAUUUCGAAAAAACCAUGUAUCUCAUACAACAGUGAAUCAGAGACUCUACAUAUCAAUGAAAAUCAUACAUAUUAUAAUGAAGUUCAAAUGCAGCUAGCUCUUGCAUGUCAAACAUGGUGUGACUAUAUUUUAUAUACUUCAGACAGGAAUGGUAAUGGAUAGAGUUCAAUUUGAUGCAAUGUAUUGGGAAAAGUUACAAUCAUCUAUUGUGUCAUUUUAUUUUAAGUACGCACUACCAGAAAUUGCAUCAAAAGAGAAGAAGUAAAGAACAGAAUUUUUGUGUAUAUAAAUUUAAUUUACAUCUUUUAAAAUACGGUUUUGAAAGUUUGAUCCCAAUGCUGCUACAGUUAUGAUUCAAUUUAAAAAACCAGCCAUGUUAAGUGACAUUACAUGGUCGAAUAUGUGAUAACAUUUUAAGAACUGUAUUAAAACGCACUUUUAACAACAAUGUUUUUGUCCGAAAUGCUACCCGGGUAUGCAUAGAAGAUGAAUAUAAUGCGGUGCUAUCCCAACUAAGACUUUAACUGUCGUGUGACUUUUAUAAUUAGAAAAUAACAUUUUAUGCAGCCAUAGUGAUGUUGGAACAACUACUAUGAUUUCUAAACAAUCGAUAAUCCACUGUCUGUUGGUAAAGUGUUGCUUCAUAGAUUCAGGCUUAUUUCUUGAACCUGUUAUUGGCCAUAUACAUAUGCUACAAAGUCUGAUAUACAUAAAGUUUAUCCAUGUACUGAGUGCAUUGCUUAUCGUACCUUCUGAUGCAUCGAAUAUAUAUGUGUCAACAUAAAACUUUCCAAUGGUGAAAAACACCUUCUACAACCACGUGCAUCGUUUUACCUUCUAUAUAGUUGUACAAAACAAUCUUUUGACCAGUUUCACCAGCAUCAAGAAAAAUGAGAACAUUUUGAAAUAUUAUAAACCUGUAUAAUAAUUACAUAAUUCAUCUGAUUUCAAUGUAUGCUCCAUAAAUUCACUUUUUACAGAAAAGCUUUGGUUUCGAAGUUGAAGAUCUCUUAUAAAACAUUUCUGAUCAUUAUUUUUAUGUGUUUCAAGGUAUUUCAUUCUAUCUGAUUGUUCACUAAUUAACUCAUUGUAUCUUCGACUUUAUACUGUGUCAAAAAAAAAAUUCAUCUUCUAUUUGUUGCAGUUCUACUUUAAUAAUAUCCAAUUCAGAGGGCUCGUUUCUACUGUCAUCUGAAGUUUUAGGUUCUUGAAACUUUUUUUUUCCCAUCAUUCCCAGCAUGAAUUUUUGGCUUGGCAUCUGGUAGCAAUCGUUUUUUCGUACCUCCUGGAGGCUUAUAAAUCAUUUGUUCUUCAAAGUGUUUUUCGCAUACUACAGUGUUCUUUGUGACCUUGAGACCAUCCCUGCCAUCUUGACGUUUUAUCAAGCUGCACCAGACUUGUUUUCGGCUUGGCUCACUAGGAAAUGGGAAAAAGGUAGUGUCGGAACGCAUUUUCUCCUCAUUUUCGAAGUAAUAGUCACAGCAGAGCAGCCAUAAGCUGCACAUUCACGUCGAAGUGAUGAGGAUGACCCACGACUCCUCUUACGCUCGGCCAUAUUGAAAUAACUUUAGCAUAGGUUGCCUCGUUUUCAUGCUGUAGAAGAUUACGUCAUUUUAUUAAUGAAAAGGAGCAUUGAGAAUUUAUUCUUCCGACAAAUAACACAUAUACAUUUUAAACAGGUCGUAAAGGAGUAUUGUUAACAUUUAAAUUUAGUUAAAAAAAACGAUUUUACCCGUGAUAUAUAUAUGGUGAUAUCUAUCGACGAAAGUGAAAACUUGGGUUGACCGGGAUUUGAACUGAGCUAUCGGUCAGGUAGGAGUUUACAAUUGGCUUCUCCCUCACUACAGAUUCGAGUCCAGUUAGUAGUUCAAGCCCACCAGCACAAGCCUGCACUUCCGCCAAUACUGGCCACCUAUAAAGGCGCGUGUUUCCGUAACAUUACCUUCAUCAGCCCAUAUAUAUAAUUAUUGUUUAUUUAGAUAGAGUUAUUAUAACCACAAGAGAAAUAAUAGAGAAAAAAGCUAUAAUGGAACAUACAACGGUGAAGAAGUCAAAGAUAUUAAAACAAUUCAAGACAGACAAUAAGAAGGAUUUAACACCAAAGUGUAUAUUCCACUCAAAAAUUGAUUGCGUUUGUCAGCAAGAAGAAAGUCACAGUUUAUCGAAAUCCAAAAAAUGUCAAAAGUGUCACCGUAAGUUUGAGAAAAAGUCAGAGUUUCUAGAACAUGAUAAAAAUGCCCAUAAACGCAUCAAGUUCAUAUGGCAGAACGAAUGCGAAGAAUUGAGGUCCCAUUACCAGAUCAAAAAGUGAGUCAGAAAAUAGUCAAGAAAUAUUUAGAAUCCUUAAAAAAUGUUUUGGCGACGGAGAUUUUAAAAAGACAUUUGCUCCCUCUGGUAGUUACUCAACAGAUACAAAGAUACGAAAAGCAGAUGAAUUUGACUAUGACGUACCAUCGAAGUAUUCAUCGGAAGAAAUAAGUAUCAAUAAAGAAGGUAAGAUAUUCUACCAUUAUAAUCAGAGUCAAAGGUAUUUACAAUUUGUAAGCUGAAAUGAAAUAUAAGAGGUAGUUAUUAAGGUCUCGCCUGAUUUUUUAGUCUACAAAUCACCAUUAACUUUUGUCCGCAAGUACGAAAUUUAGUCGAACAGCCUUAAAAAAAAUUUCUUUCCAGCUUUUUGCAUAUUCAUAGAGAGGAACAAUUGUAAAUAAAAAAAAUGUUUUUUUGCGAAUGUUUUAUUUUUCAGACACCAAGCGUAAACGUUCGCGUUAGCGUAAUCAAAUCUAACGAGUAUAAGUCGAUACCUUGCUUUUAUGAAGACGUAUUGGUUGAACGUGACGAAAAAAAAAAGAAACUAUCUACCCAAGAAAAAUCCAGGAGCAAUUAUACGAGAAUAUGCAGUGUGCAGUUGAAAAAAUAGAAAAUGUUGAUGUAAACCGCAUGGUCCAGCUGUUACAGUUACCAUUAAAGAGCAAGAAAAACAUCAUAUUAAUGUCGACAUAUUUCCAUCUAUGAAAACCAAACAAAUCAAUUUGGCACUCUAUAAAUGACCACGCCUGCAGACAAGAAAAGCCUUGCCAGAAAAGGUUACAGUCAGGAUAUAGAAGAGGUUGGGCUGCAUCUUGUACCAAAGAAGGAAAGGUUUUGGCACAUUUCUGUAUCAAAUGCAGGAAAAACGCUUAUGCAAAGCCUUAAUAAAGCAGAUAAUGGAUGUCGCAGAUGGUGCCAUAAAUUACUUAAGGACAAUUUUAAAAAAUGGUUAGGAAAAACAGGACACAAGUUACCUGGGAUGUCGACAAUGAUUUUUAAGCGACAUUUGUUUUGGUUCAACGAAAAUAACCCACAUUUGAAUUAGGACCAAGAAAACCUUUGUGAAUGCUACUUGGAAAUGUUAGCAGAUUUGAGUGAUCGGUUACGAAAGAAGAAGAUUUUUUAACUAUUUUCGAGAUUUGAAAACCUGUUAAAAGAUAAAGAUCAACAAGAAUUGAACCAGGUGGCCAAUCUUGCAGAUAAAACACGUCUAAAACUAUUGGCAAUGAAUUGACAACAUAGAAACAUUUUGAGAGAGACAAAAACUUUUAUUUGUUGGGAAAUAAUUAAUGGCAAUAAUAACAAUAGCAACCCUUUAAAGAAUAUUUGUUACUUCAAAUGCCUAAAUUUUUAUCAGGAAAAACCUAAGUAACUUGUAACAAUAUGUUUCCGUAGCCUUCUGCCAAGCAGUAUAUUCGCGUAGGAUCAUUUAUACGCCUGAUUGUACAUUGUACAUCAAGGAUAACGCACAGAUUUCCACCCAAAGUUUCGGUUACUUUUAUCAACAGGUCGUCUGUACAUCCAUUUCAUCGUCGUAGCUACAUAGCUAUGUAUUACUGUUAAGCACACUCGUCAUGUUAACGUAAAAUUUCUGUCUUUUUACUGAAGCCCUUUUUUGUUAAUUAUAAAUAACCAAAAAAUUUGAUUUUGUAGAUUUAGUGUAGAAUUCAAGUUAUUAAUUUAGCAAUAUAUAUAAUUGUAUCAUUUUGACGAAUUGUUAACCUCGUGUUCCGUUUGAUUUGUAAAAGCGCAACGAUUUAGUGGCAUUACAUAACCCAACUUUCAAAUUUUUUUCAUUUCUAACUUCUAGCUAUUCACUGAUAAGUCUAUAAAAGGUGUUUGUGCGGUUUAUUUUGGUAUUAAUGUCCUCGAGAGCUGUUG
Molecule: long non-coding RNA, 6033 nt
Organism: Hydractinia symbiolongicarpus
Lineage: Eukaryota; Metazoa; Cnidaria; Hydrozoa; Anthoathecata; Hydractiniidae
Exons: 4
Source: RefSeq, a predicted model, not a curated record